CCUACGGGAGGCAGCAGUGAGGGAUAUUGCGCAAUGGGCGAAAGCCUGACGCAGCGACGCCGCGUGGGCGAGGAAGGCCUUCGGGUUGUAAAGCCCUUUUGGCAGGGAAGAGCAAGGACUGUACCUGCAGAACAAGUCACGGCUAACUACGUGCCAGCAGCCGCGGUAAAACGUAGGUGGCGAGCGUUGUCCGGAAUUACUGGGCGUAAAGAGCGCGUAGGCGGUUUAUUAAGUCAGAUGUGGAAGUCUUAGGAUCAACCUGAGAAUUGCAUCUGAAACUGAUAGACUAGAGUCCAAUAGAGGAGAGUGGAAUUCCGGGUGUAGCGGUAAAAUGCGCAGAUAUCGGGAGGACCACCAGUGGCGAAGGCGGCU
RNAcentral lists this ribosomal RNA (372 nucleotides) under uncultured bacterium. RNAcentral's name for it is "partial 16S ribosomal RNA". It matches the Rfam family "Bacterial small subunit ribosomal RNA", at positions 338 to 726 of the family's 1533-position model. The record is from RNAcentral.